GAUGAACGCUGGCGGCGUGCCUAAUACAUGCAAGUCGAACGAAACUUCUUUAUCACCGAGUGCUUGCACUCACCGAUAAAGAGUUGAGUGGCGAACGGGUGAGUAACACGUGGGCAACCUGCCCACAAGAGGGGGAUAACACUUGGAAACAGGUGCUAAUACCGCAUAACCAUAGUUACCGCAUGGUAACUAUGUAAAAGGUGGCUAUACUACCGCUUUUGGAUGGGCCCGCGGCGCAUUAGCUAGUUGGUAGGGUAAAGGCUUACCAAGGCAAUGAUGCGUAGCCGAAGGGAGAGGUUGAUCGGCGACAUUGGGAGUGAGACACGGCCAAAACUCCUACGGGAGGCAGCAGUAGGGAAUCGGCCACAAUGGGCGAAAGCCUGAUGGAGCAACGCGGCGUGGGUGAAGAAGGUCUUCGGAUCGUAAAACCCUGUUGUUAGAGAAGAAAGUGCGUGAGAGUAACUGUUCACGUUUCGACGGUAUCUAACCGGAAAGCCACGGCUAACUACGUG
This 512-nucleotide ribosomal RNA is filed under the name uncultured bacterium. RNAcentral describes it as "partial 16S ribosomal RNA". It matches the Rfam family "Bacterial small subunit ribosomal RNA", at positions 28 to 507 of the family's 1533-position model. The record is from RNAcentral.